RNAcentral lists this ribosomal RNA (207 nucleotides) under uncultured bacterium. Its description in RNAcentral is "partial 16S ribosomal RNA". It matches the Rfam family "Bacterial small subunit ribosomal RNA", at positions 568 to 774 of the family's 1533-position model. The record is from RNAcentral.
CGCGUAGGCGGCCUUCUAAGUCGGACGUGAAAUCCCCAGGCUUAACUUGGGAACUGCGUCCGAUACUGGAGGGCUUGAGUGCGGGAGAGGGAUGUGGAAUUCCAGGUGUAGCGGUGAAAUGCGUAGAUAUCUGGAGGAACACCGGUGGCGAAGGCGGCAUCCUGGACCGACACUGACGCUGAGGCGCGAAAGCCAGGGGAGCAAACG